AUGACGUCAUUGGUCAGAGCCGACGGGUUGUAUCCUCUGCGGCCUGCUUGGCUGCUUCAUUAGGUGCUUCGACCAUGGUGGUCGAAGAUUAAAUGUGAAAGUCUUACGUCUGUGACCGGCUUGACGAUAAAUUACGUCUUGCAACCGUGUGUGGUCAGUUGUGGUCGAUAAAAUUCAAAACAAAAUUUUGAUACCUACAUGUCUACUGGCAAUUUAUAGUUACGGUAGUUACAUGAAUUGUUCCUGUGAACACGACUAGAUUUCAGGAAGUGAACAUUGAUGAACGUUAAUUAUCAGCCCAUUUGUCGCUUCCUCGUUUUGCCGGGAAGGAAGACCCACAGGUUGAUUUCGCGCCUGUUUAUAAGUUCCCUGCAGCACAAACCAAAUCAGAAGUUGACGCCUGUGAACAUUAAUCGCCAGCCUAUUUGUUGCCGCAAUGGAAGAAUCGCUGGAUGGUUCCUUGCUGGUCGACACGGUUAUGGUGAGCUCGAGAGGCCUUCAGCAGCAGCAGCAGUCACCGGCGGCCGCGGACUCGAAGACACCCGCCCGCAGCGUCACUCCCACCGAGGCCGCUUCGCUGCGCACCGCAGCGGUCUGCAGAACUGCCUGCCCCUCGCUGUCCCUCGCGUCUCUGACCACUCUGGGUAUCGGCAGGGGCUUUGCGGUGCCCUGUCUGCUGUAUCCUACCUCGAUGUGGAGGCCGCCUUGCUGCCACUUGUUCUGUAUGUUGACGUCGGCCCCCGACUGUGGCAGAAUUCCGCUGUACAGUGCGGUGGAGUGUAGCCGCGUUCGCGCCGGUUAUUGGCGUCUGUUUCCCUGGCUGAGACCUCGACGAGUGUGGUCGCGUCUCCAUUCUCUGUGCAUUUUGAAUCUGCUUCUCGAUGCCUUGCUCCUUUGCGGUAUUAUUUUCCACGGAAAUGUAUUGCCGCAGUGGAAAAUCUGAAAAUCUUUAACUGUGCCAGUUACGUGCUAAAAACCCAGUUGAGUUGUGUGAGCAGUGUGUAAGACUUGACAACUUGGUCCAAAAGGGAAGGAGAUUUUGAGGUUACACAGAAUUACUUAACAUUUUCAGAACUGAAAGUAAUGCCAGAGGGUGGUGUUCCACAUUACAUCUGAUUUGGGAAGCACCCUGCAAAAUCCCCUGUUCAGGGUUACCUUUGCUAACCCAGAAAACUAAUUUUUGGCAGGCCACGUAUUUGAGGCAUAUCCUGUAAUUUUAAUGUGCGGAAUUUAAAAUUGAACUCUGGCCUCUGGCGUAGAUCUUUAAGCAGGUAUUUGCAUACGAUUUAAUGUGAUUGAAGAUAUCUGAGUAAAACAAAUUUUCGUUUCAACACGUAAAUGUAUUCACUAAAACCAUCUGUUAACUUCACAUAAAAAAAUUGACUGUCAAAACUGUUAAUAAUUCUUUUGGUGUUGAAAUUCUGUGUGAAUUUACACACUGAUAAACCACAGUGAAAACUGUGCAGUUGGAUGUGCCUGCUUUGUUGUUUGGUGGUGGUGGUGGUGGUGGUGGUGGUGGUGGUGGUGGUUAGGGGUAUUCCACAUGGCUCAGGAAGCUGGCAUCAGUUGGUGUUCAGUGGUUUGUUUGUUGGCUCUGUUGUUUGCAUUCCUGUUCCCACCCUUUGGCAUUUAAUGACGUGGUUGACCCCGAGCAAAGAGUCUGUGUGAAAUUUUGUUUCCUGUCGGGGAAAACUGCAGCAGAGACUAUUGGGAUGCUUCGGCAAGCCUUUAGUGACGAUGCUUUGGCGAAAUCACAGGGCUAAGAGUGGUUCUCUUAUUUGAGAUCUGGCAAAACAUCAACUGAAAACGUGCCACAUCGUGGUUGUACUUAGACAUCAAGAAAUGAUGAAAACAUUGCCACAAUCAAACGAGCAAUUCUCAGAGGACCAUUGACCAAAUUUCUCAGGAAAGAAAAUUGUCACGGAGCACAGUCCAGCAAAUCUUAACUGAAGAUUUGUACACGAGAUGGAGUCUGCAAAAUUUGUUCCUCGCUCACUCGCAGGUGACCGAAGAGAAAAAAAAAGUUAAUGUUUGCCACGGCUUGAAGAGUGAAAUGCAAAACUAUCCAACUGCCGGAUGAGUCAGUACUACUGGUGCAAUCUGGAGUCGAGGAGUAAAAGCGAAUGCGGUGCCAGUGGAAAGCUUAAAGAUCACCAUGACCCGAGAAAGCAUGUCGAGUGCCAUCCGAUGUGAAAACAGUGUUUAUCUGUGCUUUUGAUGUGAAUGGAAUUGUUAACAAGGAGUGUGUUGUUCCAGACAGUUUGUGAACCAAUAGUUUUAUGUGGACGUGUUAGGAAGAUAUGGAGGUGUGUGCAGUGAAUAUGGCCAGGACUGGGGAAAAAUGGGAACUGGUUGCUCCACCGAGACAAUUCUCCAGCCGACACAGCUCGGACAGGCCGACAGUCGGUGGCAAAACGUGACACGGUGCUUGUCCCUCAUCCAGCCUCUCACCCAGUCUCACUCUGUCUGACUUCUUUUUUUUAUUUUCACGGACGAAGCAGUCCAAAUGGAAAGUGAUUCGGUGAUGUAGACGAUGUCAAACGAAAUACACUGACGGCUUCGAACAGUAUCCUGCCACGAGAGUUCCAGAACUGUUUCCGGCAGUGGCAAGUGUCGAGCCGAGUGCACCGUUGCACACGGACGAUACUUUGAAGGGGACUAAAAUACUGUAAAUGUAGGUUUCAAUAAAAUGCAAAAUAAAAAUUCCAGUUACUGUGCCCCCUAGUAAACUCGCAAGUACUGACGGAAAGUAGUAAUCGAAAGCUCGGCGAGUAACCUCAGAAAUUUGCAUACGACACGUGACUGUCGAUCUCGAGAUGAGCAGUAGCGUGUAAUUCCACGGUGCCGCUUAAAAUGCUCGCCGCAUUUGUAACCGCGGUGUUCCGUGCCGUCCCCUGCUGGACGUGUGGUCCCGCUGCGGAUGGCACUCGGUCAAAACUCGAAGAUGCCGCAGUCUACACCCCGACUCGAACUGACGGGUCCAACGUGGAAUCGACCGUGACCCAAUUCGGAGGCAGUAUGUGCUCUGCCACAACUCGAUGCAGAGUCCCCAACGUGGCCACCGCCGGUACGGAAUGGCUAGCCUUAGAAAUUUUGGUCGUCUGUUAUAGCCUGCGAGAAGUGCAGGAUGCUCCCCUUCUCCUUAUAGGUGAGACGAGGGGACCAUUUUCUGCCCGUUUCCCGGAUGGAGGGAUUCGAGGAAACGAACUCGCCGCUGCGGCUGCUGAGGAGGCUCGCUCCCUUCUCACUCUCGCUCACUGGUCGACCCCUCCCCCCUUUCAGUUGCCAAAAGUGAGGAGUAAUGAACUACAUUCUGUAAAACGUUCAGUGUGUCCGUGGGUUACUUCCUUCCACCUGGGAGGGUGUGAAGGAGCAACUGUUAUACAGCUCGUAGUGGAACGUUCUCCAUUGACACGUGGCUUCUUUUUAAGAUGCAAGACUGCCCCCAGAUGUGGGACACAGACAUCAGUAUGAGGUAUUUUGAGUGUGUGUUAUACGUCGAUGCGAGUGUCGAUCUGGCUCUCCUGUAGGAUUUGCCCUCUAUUAUAACUGAUUAUGAGGCGAGUAGUGUUCGUGUUUUAAGAUUUUUGUCUGAUUUCCGGAAAUUUUUCCCAAAUAUUGAAUGUGAGAUUUUAUCGUGUCACCGAGUGGCUCGGUCACUGAUUAUUUGUAAGUAGUCACCUGGCCACACACACCUGACUCCUUGUUAAUGAUGUCUUUACUGGUAUUUCAUCCACUAUUUCGUCUGGUUGUCGUGCAGGAUCUCAUUGGGAUUUUAUUACGGGCUUUUCUGGAGCUCACAUUAUUGUGGUUGCCUUACAGUUCUCGAAAGGGAAUGCGACUCGGUUUUCCAUUUUAUUGUAAUUUUUUGAAAUAAGAUUCUUCUCCCUGCUCGUCAGCACAACCUUGCUGUUUGGUGCCUUCAGUUGUAAAUAGUCACCUCCUUCCCACCUGACAGUGUGUGUUACCAAAUUAAAGAACACUGCAGCCCAACAGCAACUGCCUCCCCCAACUGUAGAAUAUCAUCAAAAAUACCGCUUCACGUCUGAUGUGGGUCGCAAAAUAACUCCACGUUUUAUGUGGACCUGCAUCUGGUCAAGAGUUUCAUUCUUCCGGGUUACAGGACUGCAGUAGGUGGUGGUGGGAGGGUGCAUGGCACAGGUCUUACACGGGGGGUGCGGCAGUUACAAGUGUAGGAGCCACAGGGUAGAGAAGGUGGUUUGGGGAUUUCAUAGGGAUGAACUAAGAGGUUAUGAAGGUUAGGUGAAUGUUGGUGGAGUUAGGAGGAUUCCAUGAAGGAUGGAUCUCAUUUAAAGGCAGCAUUUGAAGAAGUUGUAUCCGAUCAAAGGCAGAGCCACGUGUGAAAGCACCCACGUGAU
Schistocerca gregaria is the source of this 4379-nucleotide long non-coding RNA. RefSeq lists it as uncharacterized. NCBI's taxonomy places the organism in Eukaryota, Metazoa, Arthropoda, Insecta, Orthoptera, Acrididae. The transcript has 4 exons. The record is from RefSeq and is a predicted model, not a curated record.